AGGACGAACGCUGGCGGCGUGCUUAACACAUGCAAGUCGAGCGGAAAGGCCCUUCGGGGUACUCGAGCGGCGAACGGGUGAGUAACACGUGAGCAACCUGCCCUUAGCUCCGGGAUAGCUCCGGGAAACCGGAAUUAAUACCGGAUACGACCACGGCCGACAUCUGCUGUGGUGGAAAGGAUUCCGGCUAAGGAUGGGCUCGCGGCCUAUCAGCUAGUUGGUGGAGUAACGGCCCACCAAGGCGACGACGGGUAGCCGGCCUGAGAGGGCGACCGGCCACACUGGGACUGAGACACGGCCCAGACUCCUACGGGAGGCAGCAGUGGGGAAUAUUGCGCAAUGGGCGAAAGCCUGACGCAGCGACGCCGCGUGGGGGAUGAAGGCCUUCGGGUUGUAAACCCCUUUCAGCAGGGACGAAGCGAAAGUGACGGUACCUGCAGAAGAAGCGCCGGCUAACUACGCACCAGCAGCCGC
Molecule: ribosomal RNA, 474 nt
Filed under: uncultured bacterium
Lineage: Bacteria
Description: SSU rRNA
Rfam family: Bacterial small subunit ribosomal RNA
Source: RNAcentral